RNAcentral lists this ribosomal RNA (506 nucleotides) under Bacillus amyloliquefaciens. RNAcentral describes it as "bacterial SSU rRNA". It matches the Rfam family "Bacterial small subunit ribosomal RNA", at positions 37 to 525 of the family's 1533-position model. Lineage: Bacteria; Bacillati; Bacillota; Bacilli; Caryophanales; Bacillaceae. The record is from RNAcentral.
UGGCGGCGUGCCUAAUACAUGCAAGUCGAGCGGACAGAUGGGAGCUUGCUCCCUGAUGUUAGCGGCGGACGGGUGAGUAACACGUGGGUAACCUGCCUGUAAGACUGGGAUAACUCCGGGAAACCGGGGCUAAUACCGGAUGGUUGUCUGAACCGCAUGGUUCAGACAUAAAAGGUGGCUUCGGCUACCACUUACAGAUGGACCCGCGGCGCAUUAGCUAGUUGGUGAGGUAACGGCUCACCAAGGCGACGAUGCGUAGCCGACCUGAGAGGGUGAUCGGCCACACUGGGACUGAGACACGGCCCAGACUCCUACGGGAGGCAGCAGUAGGGAAUCUUCCGCAAUGGACGAAAGUCUGACGGAGCAACGCCGCGUGAGUGAUGAAGGUUUUCGGAUCGUAAAGCUCUGUUGUUAGGGAAGAACAAGUGCCGUUCAAAUAGGGCGGCACCUUGACGGUACCUAACCAGAAAGCCACGGCUAACUACGUGCCAGCAGCCGGGCAAAUA